RNAcentral lists this ribosomal RNA (996 nucleotides) under uncultured Actinomycetes bacterium. RNAcentral describes it as "bacterial SSU rRNA". It matches the Rfam family "Bacterial small subunit ribosomal RNA", at positions 508 to 1504 of the family's 1533-position model. Lineage: Bacteria; Bacillati; Actinomycetota; Actinomycetes. The record is from RNAcentral.
CCAGCAGCCGCGGUAAUACGUAGGGUGCAAGCGUUGUCCGGAUUUAUUGGGCGUAAAGAGCUCGUAGGCGGUUAGUCACGUCGGAUGUGAAAACCCAGUGCUUAACACUGGGCCUGCAUUCGAUACGGGCUGACUAGAGUGUUGUAGGGGAGACUGGAACUCCUGGUGUAGCGGUGAAAUGCGCAGAUAUCAGGAAGAACACCGGUGGCGAAGGCGGGUCUCUGGGCAACUACUGACGCUGAGGAGCGAAAGCGUGGGGAGCAAACACGAUUAGAUACCCUGGUAGUCCACGCCGUAAACGGUGGGCGCUAGGUGUGGGGAACAUUCCCGUUUUCCGUCCGCAGCUAAAGCAUUAAGCGCCCCGCCUGGGGAGUACGGCCGCAAGGCUAAAACUCAAAGGAAUUGACGGGGGCCCCCCCAAGCGGCGGAGCAUGCGGCUUAAUUCGAUGCAACGCGAAGAACCUUACCUAGGCUUGACAGUUGGGGAAAUCUGGCAGAGAUGCCAGGUCCGUAAGGGCCCCAAAACAGGUGGUGCAUGGCUGUCGUCAGCUCGUGUCGUGAGAUGUUGGGUUAAGUCCCGCAACGAGCGCAACCCUCGUCGUAUGUUGCCAGCGGAUAAUGCCGGGGACUCAUACGAGACUGCCGGGGUCAACUCGGAGGAAGGUGGGGACGACGUCAAGUCAUCAUGCCCCUUAUGUCUAGGGCUGCACGCAUGCUACAAUGGCCGGUACAGAGGGCUGCGAUACCGCGAGGUGGAGCGAAUCCCAAAAAGCCGGUCUCAGUUCGGAUUGGGUCUGCAACUCGACCCCAUGAAGUCGGAGUCGCUAGUAAUCGCAGAUCAGCAACGCUGCGGUGAAUACGUUCCCGGGCCUUGUACACACCGCCCGUCACGUCACGAAAGUCGGCAACACCCGAAGCCGGUGGCCUAACCCUUGUGGGAGGAGCCGUCGAAGGUGGGGCUGGUGAUUGGGACGAAGUCGUAACAAGGUAGCCGAU